Cydia splendana is the source of this 617-nucleotide long non-coding RNA. RefSeq lists it as uncharacterized. NCBI's taxonomy places the organism in Eukaryota, Metazoa, Arthropoda, Insecta, Lepidoptera, Tortricidae. The transcript has 3 exons. The record is from RefSeq and is a predicted model, not a curated record.
GUUCGCUCAGUUUGUUUAUAUCUAGAGAAACACGAACCCGCACCGUUAUUGUCAUAACAAUUAUUAACGUUAAUUGUUCAUUAAUAAUAACAAUCAUUAUUGUGAUAUUUUGUGAUUUAUUUAUUUUCAAACACAUGUCCGGCUCACAGCUGACGCGAGUGAUGCGUGAAAUGGAUUUGGAUAUUUGCAAUAUGCUGACGUCGCCAGAAGGCCUGCACUAUUGGUUCACGGAGUUCGACGGCUGGGUAUGCAGGUUCAAUGCCAGCUUCAGCUUUUCAAGGUCGCUUCCAAAACUUCAUGAAAACGCCAGUCAAGCUCAAAAAUGCCAAAACUGUGCCAAAGAACAGAGAACUGAAAAUAAACAUGAAACACAGCCAAGUUCUGAAAAUGGAAUCGUUAAAACACAGUCGAGUACAGACAAUCCAACACUCCACGAAUUCAUUGUAAAUGGACUGUUAAUUGCACAGAAGAAAGAUAAGAUAAGAAAUAAGACUGACUUUUUAAAUAUUUUCAAGGGAAAUGAUGAUUUUACGCAAUACGAUUAUGUAUUGCUGUCAACUGUGAAGGAAAAUGGAAGGAAACAUUAUUAUAAAUAUAUAUUACGGUCUAAGAUUUGA